UUCCAAGUAGCUCAGUGGUAGAGCGUCCGACUGUUAAUCGGGUGGUCGCAAGUUCGAAUCUUGCCUUGGGAGCCA
This 75-nucleotide transfer RNA is filed under the name Agrobacterium rubi. Its description in RNAcentral is "tRNA-Asn". It matches the Rfam family "tRNA". Rfam says of the family: Transfer RNA (tRNA) molecules are approximately 80 nucleotides in length. Their secondary structure includes four short double-helical elements and three loops (D, anti-codon, and T loops). Lineage: Bacteria; Pseudomonadati; Pseudomonadota; Alphaproteobacteria; Hyphomicrobiales; Rhizobiaceae. The record is from RNAcentral.